This is an RNA transcript of Ceratosolen solmsi marchali, 1880 nucleotides long. It is a transcript of the gene named protein turtle homolog A, with no coding region annotated. The record is from RefSeq and is a predicted model, not a curated record. NCBI's taxonomy places the organism in Eukaryota, Metazoa, Arthropoda, Insecta, Hymenoptera, Agaonidae. The transcript has 7 exons.
UUCCGGCGGCGCGAGAACGGCAGUGCGAGCCGAGCCCGAGAAGGAGCGAGCCGCGCGACCUGCUGGCGCGCGAGGAGAUGGUGCCGUGUCCGGGCCGCUGACCGACGCCCCCGAAUAUGGGACAAUGUCGGCCCAAAGUGUCAACUGGCCGCCCCCGUCGUCCUCGGCGGCGCCGCCACCACCGCCGCUGCCUCUGCUGUUGCUGCUCUGCCUCGCAGGCUGGCACGGAGCACUGGGACUAGCGCCAGUUCCGUUGCGCAACGUGAGCGUCGAUGUUGGCGACAACGUAACAGUCGUUUGCUCCAACGAGGGUAGGGCGCAAAUUUUUGGGACAAGCAACAAGAUAACGUGGAUACGUGAGGGCCGAGAGGAUGGUCAGAGCAAGCGGCUGACGGUCGAGCCCAGUGGUCUUUUGAAGCUCAUAAACGUCAGUCGAUUCGAUACGGGAGAUUAUUAUUGUACUUUGGACGACGAUGCUGUGAGAGAUAGGAUCAGUGUCCAAGUAAGAACGCCUCCUCCAGCUCUGCACAAUGUUUGGGUUAAGCCGUCGACUAUAUUGGCGAAUAUUCUGUGGGAAGUAGCGGGCACCGGAGGUUAUCCCAUCAUCGACUUUACGGCGGAGUAUCGCUUGAAGCCGAGUCCCGGUGACGAGGCCGAUGACUGGAAGCCCAUUAUUCCUACGCACAUUCCUCCUAAUUCCAGGCAAAUAGACGUAUAUCAUUUAGAACCGAACACGACAUAUUCCUUUCGAGUAUGGGCGACCAACCAACUUGGAAGAGGAGACAUUGUCGAGGUAGAAGGUCACACUCAUCACAGCGUCGAAGAAUUAGAAUUAGCAAGACACUUGCUGGCAGGAGUUGAAAAUUUUGAUACGCGCGUGUGGGUGGCAGCAGUGGGAAUUGUUAUGGGAACACUGAUGGUUCUUGGGUUCGGUACAUGCUACCUGUUGUAUCGGGAGUGCAAGGCACCCUCGCAGCUGGAGGAGCAGGAAGUGAUUGAGCUGGUGCCCAACAUAAUACUGAAUCCGGGCUUCUUUGACGAGAGGACGGAACGCAUACCGCAGGACGAGAACUUCAACAAUCAGACGACGACGCGCCUAAACAACAACACCGUCGUGCAGCCAAGACGACUUUAGCGACUGAUAUUCACUUAGGCUUUAAGCGGCCGUGCAAGAGAUAACGAGGCGCGCUAAUAACGCGCUGCGUGUCCACGUGCUCGGGCCUGAUCGAGGACGAGUCCCCGAUUGUCCCACGAAAUUGUCUAUUUAGCAACAAAGUAAAGAGUAACUUUUAAUCAACGGAAAGAAAAUUAUUCUUGUAAUUAUGGAACCAAGAGGUCGGCGUAUGCGUAGUGAGUAGGUUAUUUAGAUCCAUUUCAUCGAGACAAUUAUAAUUAUCUGCCAUUGCGAUUUCAUUAUAAUAACAGAGAAAUUCAGUAUUUAGCAAUUGAGUGGGAAUUAUUAAAAGAUGCGCGUCUUUCUUCAGUAUUAUUAUAAUUGAAAUAUCGACGGAAAACAAUUUACCAUAUUAAUUGUGUCGAUUUAAAGAGAGAAGAUAAAAGAUGAAAAAUAAAAAUAGAAAUAAUCGUCGUAUUUUUUAAUAUUCGUCAUAGUUUCUAAUAAGUUAAGAUAUUUCUAAGAGAUUUUCACUAUUCGCUUUGAACGUCUUGAUAAUAAGCUUUACGAUUAUUUUGUAAAAGUGGCAGAUAUUUUCAUUCAUAUCAUCAUUAUAGUCUGGAAUACCUACCUACCUGAUAAAAAAUACCUUGGAAUAUUUUGAAAGUCUUUUACACUUUUUAUUUAUCAGACAUCAUUUCUCGUUCUCUAUAGGUGUCUGGCGAUUCGAUUUGUAAAAUAGAGAACUUGUAAACAGCGUUCAAAA